This 1461-nucleotide long non-coding RNA is filed under the name Sinocyclocheilus grahami. RNAcentral describes it as "lncRNA (ENSSGRG00000030526.1)". The record is from RNAcentral. Lineage: Eukaryota; Metazoa; Chordata; Actinopteri; Cypriniformes; Cyprinidae.
GCGUUUCCAUAUUUCACAAAUAACACAAAAAACGAAAAUGAUAAAUUUAUUAUAAUAAGAGUAAUCAGCAUUAAUAGUCGUACAAAAUUAUACUCUUUUAUGGUUUAUUAUUUACAAAGAUGUACUUCUGUCAAAAAUGAGAUUUAAGUAAAUGUAGCUGCGCUCUUGUAAGCAAUGGGUGACGUCACCGGGCCGCUGGGCUUGUGGGGAUUGUAGUUCAUUCAAAAUCCCCAACGUUCUGCCAACGUUGCUAUGACGUUUGUGUAACGUGACACGUGCGCUGGCUGGGGACAGCUUGAUAACCAUUUCCGCAUAUUUCUCGCACAUAUCGCAGUGUUUAUCAAGAGAUGCGUGUUAAAGGGUUUAAUUUCGCAUAAAGUGCUGUUUGUAAGUGAAGAAAUACAUCCACAUAAAUGGACGCAAACAGUGUCAGUCGUGUGAACUGGGCCAUAAACCGCCGGGCGGAGGGUUUAGUAAGUAAACACAUGGCAGACAUGGCACAGAGACGCUCAGCGGUGUCUGAAGAGGACUCUAUGCCAGGAGACCUGAGCAGAAGCGCAGAAGACGUCCCGGGGCGGGCCGAGGGGAAUCUCAGCGCAGAUUCACAGUCCUUCAAUCCUGCAGGAGUGGCGAGAAAGUUGAUGCGCGAGGACGCGUCUUCAUCAUCAUCAUCAUCAGCAGAGGCAGCAGCCCAUAGACAAAUCAUAUCGCUCCUUAUUGAGAUCAAGGAGGAGCAACAGAGGCAGUGGGAAGUUCUGAAAGACCUGCAGGCCAGGAUUCAUGGACAGGUGUGUGAGGAGGAAGACAAGCCGCUUGACAUAGAUCUGCCACUGCGAACAAUGGAACAGCUCGAUGAAACGGAGCAGCAUUUAGAGGAUGCUGAAGCUCAGAAGAGAAUGGUGUCACACCUCUCACGGAUGGGCGGAGCUACGGUAGAUGAUGCGGUCCGGCGUCUUAUGCACGCUGUUCUCUCUUUCAGUGUGGGCUCAGAGCUCAACUGGGUUGGCAGAGGACAGAAAAGGAGCUUCAGAAACACCAGACUGCAGGGUGUUUUAUUUCGUGCCUUGAAGAGGACACCUGUAGGAAAGGAGGCCACACACCAUCAGUUUGCUGAUGUAGUGAAGAAAUGGUUGCGGUUUGCCCCUUUCCGACAAAGAGGAAGUGGACGAAGACCGCAUUGGAAACCUGUUGAGUUCAUCUGUCCCAAAUAUGACAGUACUGUGGAAGAUCAUAACCAGCUUAACCAUAACCAGCUGGAUUCUGGUGAGAUUCAGGUGACAAUAUAAUUACACUAAGUGUUGUAUCCAAAGACAAGUAAAGUGAAAUCCUUGAAUGAAGAGAGUGUGAAAGAUUGGCUUUCAAUUUCUUUCUUUUUUUUCAUAUUACAUUCUUUCUGCUAUAAUAUUUGCUUUGCUUUCUUUAAGUUAAAAUACACUGUUCUUAUGGGAAUAAUUUGCCGAU